Gossypium hirsutum (cotton) is the source of this 107-nucleotide non-coding RNA. Lineage: Eukaryota; Viridiplantae; Streptophyta; Magnoliopsida; Malvales; Malvaceae. The record is from Rfam.
AUUCCAUGAUGAAGGCAUUUUCAUAAUAAUUCUUUGAAUCUCUCCCAUGCCUCAUACAAGGAUUCAUCGUCCAUUUUCUAGAAGGUAGUGAUCUCGUUCCACAACUU